Molecule: ribosomal RNA, 448 nt
Filed under: uncultured bacterium
Lineage: Bacteria
Description: bacterial SSU rRNA
Rfam family: Bacterial small subunit ribosomal RNA
Source: RNAcentral
GAUGAACGCUGGCGGCGUGCUUAACACAUGCAAGUCGAACGAAGCACUUUACCUGAUUUCCUUCGGGGAUGAUUGUUCUGUGACUGAGUGGCGGACGGGUGAGUAACGCGUGGAUAACCUGCCUCACACAGGGGGAUAACAGCUGGAAACGACUGCUAAUACCGCAUAAGCGCACGGCACCGCAUGGUGCAGUGUGAAAAACUCCGGUGGUGUGAGAUGGAUCCGCGUCUGAUUAGCUUGUUGGCGGGGUAACGGCCCACCAAGGCGACGAUCAGUAGCCGGCCUGAGAGGGCGACCGGCCACAUUGGGACUGAGACACGGCCCAGACUCCUACGGGAGGCAGCAGUGGGGAAUAUUGCACAAUGGGGGAAACCCUGAUGCAGCGACGCCGCGUGAGCGAUGAAGUAUUUCGGUAUGUAAAGCUCUAUCAGCAGGGAAGAUAAUGACG